GUGGGGAAUAUUGGACAAUGGGCGAAAGCCUGAUCCAGCCAUGCCGCGUGUGUGAAGAAGGUCUUCGGAUUGUAAAGCACUUUAAGUUGGGAGGAAGGGCAGUAAGUUAAUACCUUGCUGUUUUGACGUUACCGACAGAAUAAGCACCGGCUAACUUCGUGCCAGCAGCCGCGGUAAUACGAAGGGUGCAAGCGUUAAUCGGAAUUACUGGGCGCAAAGCGCGCGUAGGUGGUUUUGUAAGUUGGAGGUGAAAUCCCCGUGCACAACCUGGGAACUGCCUCCAAAACUACUGAGCUAGAGUACGGUAGAGGGUAGUGGAAUUUCCUGUGUAGCGGUGAAAUGCGUAGAUAUAGGAAGGAACACCAGUGGCGAAGGCGACUACCUGGACUGAUACUGACACUGAGGUGCGAAAGCGUGGGGAGCAAACAGGAUUAGAUACCCGAGUAGUCC
Molecule: ribosomal RNA, 450 nt
Filed under: uncultured bacterium
Lineage: Bacteria
Description: partial 16S ribosomal RNA
Rfam family: Bacterial small subunit ribosomal RNA
Source: RNAcentral